RNAcentral lists this ribosomal RNA (460 nucleotides) under uncultured bacterium. RNAcentral describes it as "partial 16S ribosomal RNA". It matches the Rfam family "Bacterial small subunit ribosomal RNA", at positions 338 to 795 of the family's 1533-position model. The record is from RNAcentral.
CCUACGGGAGGCAGCAGUGAGGAAUAUUGGUCAAUGGACGAGAGUCUGAACCAGCCAAGUAGCGUGAAGGAUGACUGCCCUAUGGGUUGUAAACUUCUUUUAUCUGGGAAUAAAAUGUUCCACGUGUGGGCUUUUGUAUGUCCCAUAUGAGUAAGGAUAGGCUAACUCCGUGCCAGCAGCCGCGGUAAUACGGAGGAUCCGAGCGUUAUCCGGAUUUAUUGGGGUUAAAGGGAGCGUAGGUGGAUUGUUAAGUCAGUUGUGAAAGUUUGCGGCUCAACCGUAAAAUUGCAGUUGAAACUGGCAGUCUUGAGUACAGUAGAGGUGGGCGGAAUUCGUGGUGUAGCGGUGAAAUGCUUAGAGAUCACGAAGAACUCCGAUUGCGAAGGCAGCUCACUGGACUGCAACUGACACUGAGGUUCGAAAGUGUGGGUAUCAAACAGGAUUAGAUACCCUUGUAGUC